This is an RNA transcript of Panthera uncia (snow leopard), 1849 nucleotides long. It is a transcript of the gene named transmembrane protein 144, with no coding region annotated. The transcript has 15 exons. The record is from RefSeq and is a predicted model, not a curated record. Lineage: Eukaryota; Metazoa; Chordata; Mammalia; Carnivora; Felidae.
CUUUUCUAAUUUCUCACACUAGGGAAAAAUGCACCAUGUCACGAGAACAUUCAAGCAGUCCCACGGUGAAGCCCAUGUAUAGAGGAACUGAGGUCUUCAACCAUUAGCUGGACCCAACUUGACAGGCAUAAGCUCUUGAAAAGUACAUCAAGUCUAAAGUGAACCGGCUCACUCUUGGGUAGUACUGGAACCAUGAGCAAUAAUGGAACAGACUUAACCACUGGUUUCAUCUCCUCUUCUGUGGCUGUCCUUUUGUUUGGCUCAAACUUUGUACCACUUAAAAAAUAUGAUACUGGUGAUGGAAUGUUUCUCCAGUGGGUACUUUGUGCUGCCAUAUGGAUGAUUGCCCUGGCGGUCAAUCUGAUACUACAUUGCCCUAAAUUUUGGCCUUUUGCAAUGGUUGGGGGCUGCAUUUGGGCAACAGGGAAUAUUGCUGUUGUCCCAAUUAUCAAAACCAUUGGUUUAGGCCUUGGAAUAUUAAUCUGGGGAUCUUUUAAUGCCUUAACUGGCUGGGCAAGCUCAAGGUUUGGCUGGUUUGGAAUGGAUGCAGAAGAAGUGUCAAAACCAGUGCUAAAUUACAUUGGAGCUGGAUUAUCGGUAGUAAGUGCUUUCAUAUUUUUGUUCAUCAAAAGCGAAAUACCAAGUAGCGCGAGUUCUGUGGACACCACACCGUUAAUGACAGAGCAUGUGAUCAACAAAAUUCAAGAUCCCUGUCGUGACUAUUCCUGGGUGGAUAAACUCUCCACACUGCAACAGCGCAUAGUGGGCUGCAGUCUUGCAGUGAUAUCUGGAAUACUCUACGGGUCUACGUUUGUGCCAAUCAUUUAUAUAAAGGACCACAGCAAAAGAAAUGAUAGCAUAUACACAGGGGCAAGCCAGUAUGAUUUAGACUAUGUUUUUGCACACUUCAGUGGCAUCUUUCUUACAAGUACAGUCUACUUUUUCGCCUACUGUAUAGCCAUGAAAAAUAACCCUAAGCUAUAUCCUGAAGCAGUCUUGCCAGGUUUCCUGUCAGGAGCUCUUUGGGCAAUAGCUACCUGCUGUUGGUUCAUAGCUAACCACUCUCUCAGUGCUGUGGUCAGUUUUCCAAUAAUCACUGCUGGUCCAGGAUUUAUAGCUGCAAUGUGGGGUGUCUUCAAGUUUAAGGAAAUACAGGGUCUACAAAACUACCUAUUGAUGAUAUUUGCAUUUUGCAUCAUCUUGACUGGCGCAUUAUGCACGGCUUACUCUAAAAUCUAACAGUCAUAAGACCAGCAGAUGGCAGCAGUGGGUAAGAGAACACCACUACGGGACUCCACAAAUAUGCCAAGGACAGAGUUCAUUUUCAUACAGCAAAUGGAUCUCCACUUGUCUUGGACUGGGUUUGCUUCUUGAAUUCUGUGAUGUUAUACUAUUUAGUUCAGAAGAAUGAAUUCCAGUUAGAUCUUCUUUGCAAAAGGCAGAUCCCAGGCCUCCUGAAUCCAGGACCUGAGACAUGGAAAAGGGAUGCUUUUCACAAGCUUACCAGGGAUCUUUUGAAUUCCACCAAAUCUUAUUUUGCAAAGUUUCAAACAUAUUGAAAAUUUGUGCAACAAACCCAGUUGACUGUUACACUAAAGGCCACUAUGUACCUCUGAGACAUCAACAAAGGAAUCUGCCGCAAGCAGAGACUGGAUGAGCACAUGCCUAUUGGGGCCAUCCUCCAGGAGGGCUGCUGGUACCAGCCCCCUUGAAAAUGAAGAGCCUAAGAAGAGAGGAUUCCAGCCAUCGAGUCAUUCCCUCUAGCUGCAUGAGUAAGUGCUAACAAUAUCAAUGGAAGAACCUCCCAACCCACAGAACCCUGAGAAACAAUAAAUUAUUUUUUAAGCCA